Molecule: ribosomal RNA, 114 nt
Filed under: Salvator merianae (Argentine black and white tegu)
Lineage: Eukaryota; Metazoa; Chordata; Lepidosauria; Squamata; Teiidae
Source: RNAcentral
UGCGGUGGCCCUUAACAUUCAGGCCACCUCUGAUUUGAAUUUGGAAGUGAAGCAAGGUUGGUUUGGUUAGUAUUUAAAGGAGAGACCACCUGGGAAUAUCAGGUGUUAUAGAAA